RNAcentral lists this ribosomal RNA (578 nucleotides) under Bacteroidetes bacterium oral taxon 281. RNAcentral describes it as "bacterial SSU rRNA". It matches the Rfam family "Bacterial small subunit ribosomal RNA", at positions 382 to 964 of the family's 1533-position model. The record is from RNAcentral. Lineage: Bacteria; Pseudomonadati; Bacteroidota.
CCUGAUCCAGCCAUGCCGCGUGAAGGAUAAGGUCCUUAGGGUCGUAAACUUCUUUUGACGCAGAGCAAUAAGGGACACGCGUGUUCCGAUGAGAGUAUGCGUCGAAUAAGCAUCGGCUAACUCCGUGCCAGCAGCCGCGGUAAUACGGAGGAUGCGAGCGUUAUCCGGAUUUAUUGGGUUUGAAGGGUGCGUAGGCUGUUGGAUAAGUCAGCGGUGAAAUCACCACGCUUAACGUGUUGUGUGCCGUUGAAACUGUCCAGCUUGAAUGCGCUCGUCGUGAGAGGAAUGUGUGGUGUAGCGGUGAAAUGCAUAGAUAUCACACAGAACACCGAUUGCGAAGGCAUCUCACGAGGGCGCUAUUGACGCUGAUGCACGAAAGCGCGGGUAUCGAACAGGAUUAGAUACCCUGGUAGUCCGCGCUGUAAACGAUGAUGACUAACCGUUGGUCUGGUAUGGAUCAGUGGUCAAGCGAAAGCGUUAAGUCAUCCACCUGGGGAGUACGGGCGCAAGGCUGAAACUCAAAGGAAUUGACGGGGGCCCGCACAAGCGAGACUGUGGUUUAAUUCGAUGAUACGCGA